This is a long non-coding RNA of Rhinichthys klamathensis goyatoka, 1428 nucleotides long. RefSeq lists it as uncharacterized. Lineage: Eukaryota; Metazoa; Chordata; Actinopteri; Cypriniformes; Leuciscidae. The transcript is spliced from 2 exons. The record is from RefSeq and is a predicted model, not a curated record.
CCCUCAAGCACCCUCUAAAGUGUUUACAGUACCUCGACUACAGUUCAGAGAGAUUGAGGGCCAAAGGGACGAGGUCUGCAAGCGGUCCUGUCUUAAAAGCUUUUACGUAAAUGUAGUAUAAAGAUCUCUGAAUCGGUUUAGUUUGUUCCAUUUUGGCAUGCUUUACACUUGUGGACAUGACCUUGGCUUAUAGUCCACUCAUUCACAGUGCAUACUUCGGUCAUUCUUGCCCUUCUUUACAUGUCUAGUUCAGAGAGAUUUCCGUCCUUCUACAUUAAUAGUAAAGCUCUCGCCAUUUUUGGAAACUACAAAUGCCAAAAGCCAUUAACUCGUUUCAAAUGUGGGGGGAAUUAUUUGCAAUAUUUAUUGGGAGAUGUUACAGCACGGUUCUGUGGCAAGAGUCUUUUGACCUACUGGUCACCACUUGCCUUAAAAAAGGGAAGAGGCUUUUCGGGCCAGAUAGACGUUUUUUACGCUUUCUUGAAGACUGAGCACUUUUGUAUAUUUGAGAAAUUAUUCACAGAUUGUGUUCAACCAGAUAGUGGACACAGAGGGGGGUUUUCAGAAGAGAGGGACUGAAUAUCACAGUGAAGCUCUUCAGGAUAAUGUAUGUAUUAUGACAAUGUAAACCAUGGAUGGCAUCGGUGACUAUCAGAAUAUAAAUUGAACAUUUUAAAUGCUGUGAAAUGAUUUUUUUCUCUUCUACACGUGUACAUCUUUUUUUCCCCCUUAUUCAAUGUGAUUGUUCUAUCAUCUGUAGCAUAUCAUUUUCUAAAUUGAAUUCUUAAUGCACACAAUGGAUCAUGAAAGCAUCACACGGGAUUUUGGGUACUCUUCACGUCAAAUGUUUGAUUUUAAAUCAAUUGGUAUGAUUAUUAGGUAAUCAAAAGUGCAUCUCAAUUACUGAUGCAGUGGCUUUAAUGAAAAUCAAAACCCUGCAGAUUGUACGCACUUGAACGAGGCUCUCCGAAGCCUUAUGGUGCUCACACAUAGUCUGAUUUGGUCCAUUAAUUCCAAGUGAAUGUUCAGCUUAGUCAAACGUGCUGAAAUGGGGUUGCUUUUGUCUCAGGGUUGCCAGAUAGGGCUUAAUCACUGAUAUUAAACCUUCAGAUCAAAGUGCAUCUGUUUAUCACACAAAUCUCAAAUGUUUUAUUCCUGAUACCUGCGUUGCAUUUAGUCUGAUUCUUUUGGUUCGCUUUGUGAUUUAUUUAUCCCCAAAUGGGCGAUGCAAAAUAUUUUCCACACAUUGUUUAUUUUUUUCCCCUUGAAACCCAAAUGAUAUGUGCAAUUUUGUAUAUAAAUAUCUGUUUGCACUUAUUGUAGUUGUAUAGGAGAUCUUUAAUUAACACUGUCCCCAAACCUAUUUGUUUUUUCUAUUUAUAUCACAGGAGAUUAAAGUUAAAUCAUUAAAGACUUACAUCCCUCUUC